UGGGCAUAGCUCUUGCCUUUGUAUUGGGGGAUAGCCUUUCCCGAAAGGGAGAUUAAUACCCCAUAAUAUACUGGAUGGCAUCAUCUGGUAUUGAAAACUCCGGUGGAUAGAGAUGGGCACGCGCAAGAUUAGAUAGUUGGUGAGGUAACGGCUCACCAAGUCAGCGAUCUUUAGGGGGCCUGAGAGGGUGAUCCCCCACACUGGUACUGAGACACGGACCACACUAAUACGGGAGGCAGCAGUGAGGAAUAUUGGACAAUGGGUGAGAGCCUGAUCCAGCCAUCCCGCGUGAAGGACGACGGCCCUAUGGGUUGUAAACUUCUUUUGUAUAGGGAUAAACCUAGAUACGUGUAUCUAGCUGAAGGUACUAUACGAAUAAGCACCGGCUAACUCCGUGCCAGCAGCCGCGGUAAUACGGAGGGUGCAAGCGUUAUCCGGGAUUUAUUGGGUUUAAAGGGUCCGUAGGCUGAUUUGUAAGUCAGUGGUGAAAUCUCACAGCUUAACUGUGAAACUGCCAUUGAUACUGCAAGUCUUGAGUGUUGUUGAAGUAGCUGGAAUAAGUAGUGUAGCGGUGAAAUGCAUAGAUAUUACUUAGAACACCAAUUGCGAAGGCAGGUUACUAAGCAACAACUGACGCUGAUGGACGAAAGCGUGGGGAGCGAACAGGAUUAGAUACCCUGGUAGUCCACGCCGUAAACGAUGCUAACUCGUUUUUGGGUUUUCGGAUUCAGAGACUAAGCGAAAGUGAUAAGUUAGCCACCUGGGGAGUACGAACGCAAGUUUGAAACUCAAAGGAAUUGACGGGGGCCCGCACAAGCGGUGGAUUAUGUGGUUUAAUUCGAUGAUACGCGAGGAACCUUACCAAGGCUUAAAUGGGAAAUGACAGGUUUAGAAAUAGACUUUUCUUCGGACAUUUUUCAAGGUGCUGCAUGGUUGUCGUCAGCUCGUGCCGUGAGGUGUUAAGUUAAGUCCUGCAACGAGCGCAACCCCUGUCACUAGUUGCCAUCAUUAAGUUGGGGACUCUAGUGAGACUGCCUACGCAAGUAGAGAGGAAGGUGGGGAUGACGUCAAAUCAUCACGGCCCUUACGCCUUGGGCCACACACGUAAUACAAUGGCCGGUACAGAGGGCAGCUACACAGCGAUGUGAUGCAAAUCUCGAAAGCCGGUCUCAGUUCGGAUUGGAGUCUGCAACUCGACUCUAUGAAGCUGGAAUCGCUAGUAAUCGCGCAUCAGCCAUGGCGCGGUGAAUACGUUCCCGGGCCUUGUACACACCGCCCGUCAAGCCAUGGAAGUCUGGGGUACCUGAAGUCGGUGACCGUAACAGGAAGG
RNAcentral lists this ribosomal RNA (1330 nucleotides) under Chryseobacterium vietnamense. Its description in RNAcentral is "bacterial SSU rRNA". It matches the Rfam family "Bacterial small subunit ribosomal RNA", at positions 107 to 1446 of the family's 1533-position model. Lineage: Bacteria; Pseudomonadati; Bacteroidota; Flavobacteriia; Flavobacteriales; Weeksellaceae. The record is from RNAcentral.